CCUACGGGGCGCAGCAGUGAGGAAUAUUGGUCAAUGGGCGGAAGCCUGAACCAGCCAAGUCGCGUGAGGGAUUAAGGCCCUAUGGGUCGUAAACCUCUUUUGUCAGGGAGCAAUGGCGUCCACGUGUGGGCGUAUGGAGAGUACCUGAAGAAAAAGCAUCGGCUAACUCCGUGCCAGCAGCCGCGGUAAUACGGAGGAUGCGAGCGUUAUCCGGAUUUAUUGGGUUUAAAGGGUGCGUAGGCGGGACCUUAAGUCAGCGGUAAAAUUGCGGUGCUCAACGCCGUAGAGCCGUUGAAACUGGGGUU
Molecule: ribosomal RNA, 305 nt
Filed under: uncultured bacterium
Lineage: Bacteria
Description: bacterial SSU rRNA
Rfam family: Bacterial small subunit ribosomal RNA
Source: RNAcentral